RNAcentral lists this long non-coding RNA (3151 nucleotides) under Homo sapiens (human). RNAcentral describes it as "HSALNT0032373". Lineage: Eukaryota; Metazoa; Chordata; Mammalia; Primates; Hominidae. The record is from RNAcentral.
CUUUGGGAGGCCAAGGCAGGCAGAUCAUGAGGUCAAGAGUUCGAGACCAGCCUGGCCAACAUGGUGAAACCCCAUCUCUACUAAAAAUACAAAAGUUAGCUGGGCAUGCUGGCACCCACCUGUAAUCCUAGCUGCUCAGGAGGCUGAGGCAGGAGAAUUGCUUGAACCGGGGAGGCAGAGGUUGCAGUGAGCUGAGAUCAAACCACUGCACUCCAGCCUGGGGGACAGAGUGAAACUCCGUCUCAGAAAAAAAAGUUAAAAAAAGAAGUGGGAAAAACAUUUUUUGGCCAUUUUGGUCUCCCCUGAAAUUGUUAACAGAGCAUGACAAAGUGUGUGUCUGCUUUCUGCUUUGGAGCUUGAAGACCUGGAUAAAAUGGAUUCAGAUACUGCCUGUGGCCUUGGGCAAGUUCCUUUACCAUCCCUAAAAGAAUACCAACCACUAGAGAUGGUCAGGAGGAUGGAAUAAGGAAGAUAAUGUUAGACAGGUUGUGUUUCAGAGACUGAUACAUGCAUCAGAGCUGACCCUACUAGAAAAGACUGUACAUGACUGGGUGAAGAACUCCAUUGACUUGCCUCCAGUCUUUUCUAGCCAUGGAGCGGAAGCAUGAACUUAGAAGACAGGCCAUUGUGGACCAUCCUGGAUUUUGAAAAUGCUAGAAAGAGUCAGUGGAUGGGAGCUCUCUAAACCUUUGGACUCAUCUGUGUAUAGCAUGGGUUUCUUGGCCUCCUGGCCCACUCUAUUUUCAAUUGGAAAUCUGAAAAGUUUGCAUGUGAUAGGGAGGUUUGUAUCCCGGUAAGGGAGGAAGAGGCUGAAACUGUUUAUACUGGUGUCAUUCAUAAAAUCUUCUUAGUUCUUCUCCAUAGCUUCCUUGAGUUGAGCCUACUGGUCUAUCACAACAAUGAUGCUUCUGCCUGGAGGAAUGCAAAUACCACCUGGGUAAUUAAGUCUGUGAUCUUAAUUGUCUCCCACUUAAUUGCCUCUGAAGGCCAACCCUGCAGUGUUUUCUAUUUCCUCAGCCUGGCAUGUCUGCUUGUUUUGACUCAGCCUUCUGGAUAGCAUAUGGCUUCCACUAAGCCUGAGCCACCCAGCCUGCAACUACACAGCCCCUCCAGCCGCAGAGGUGGCCCAGUUGUUUCAGUGCUGCCAUUCUGCCUCAGCCUCAGCUUCAUGCGCCCUUACCCAUCUUAUGUGCUCAUUUUGUGCUCUCCUUUUCCCAAAUUCACUGUCAAACUCUUUUUUUUUUUUUUUUUUUUUGAGACGGAUUAUCUGUCACCCAGGCUGGAGUACGGUGGCGCGAUCUCGGUUCACUACAACCUCCACCUCCCGGGUUCAAGCGAUUCUCCUGCCUUAGCCUCCCGAGUAGCUGGGACUACAGGCGCCCGCCAACACGCCUGGCCAAUUUUUUUUUAGCAGAGGCGGGGUUUGGGGUUUCACCAUGUUAGCCAGGAUGGUCUCGAUCUCCACACCUCGUGAUCCGCCUGCCUCGGCCUCCCAAAGUGCUGGGAUUACAGGCGUGAGCCACCGAGCCCGGCCCACUGUCAAACUCUUGUUGGGGAAUUCUACUGUUACCUUGUAAAGAGAAAGAAGCGCUGCUUGUCAUGGUGUAAACACAAUCUGGAAAGAAAAGACUGUGCAGUGCAUUAGCAAUUAUAUUUAGGUUCUACGGAAAACUUAUAGUUAAAUUAUUAGGCAAAUUACUUUCAAUGUGUUCUUUGGUAUAAUUUGGUAUAUGCAGGAAAGACUUAUGAAAUAUUUUCAAAUACUUCAGCCUUCAUCAAUCUCAGAGUAGGUUUAAAAAUAAUUAAAAUAUAUUAAAAUACUUUUUUUAAGGGUCCAAUGAACUGGAUCUUGGUAGGCAAAGAAAAGUGUCAUGAGCCCGGGGAUGGUGGCUCUUACCUGUAAUCCCACCACUUUGGGAGGCUGAGGCGGACAGAUUGGUUGAGCUCAGGAGUUCUAGACCAGUCUGGACAACACGGUUUCUAACAAGAAGAAGUUUGAGACUAGCCUGGGCAAUAUAGUGAAACCCCAUCUCUACAAGAAAUACAAAAAUUAGCCAGGCAUGGUGAUGCAUACCUGCAGUCCCAGCUACUUGGGAGACUGAGGUGGGAGGAUUACCUGAGCCCAGAGAGGUUGAGGCUGCAGUGAGCCAUGUUCGCACCACUGCACUCCAGCCUGAGCGACAAUGCAAGACACUGUCUCAAAACAAACAAACAAACAAAAACAAAAAACAAAAAGGCCGGGCGCCAGUGGCUCAUGCCUGUAAUCCCAGCACUUUGGGAGGCCAAGGCAGGUGGACCACCUGAGGUCAGGAGUUCAAGACCAGCCUGGCCAACAUGGUGAAACCCUGUCUCCACUAAAAAUACAAAAACUAGCCGGGCGUGGCCGGGCGCGGUGGCUCACGCCUGUAAUCCCAACACUUUGGGAGGCUGAGGCAGGCAGAUCACGAGGUCAGGAGAUCGAGACCAUCCUAGCUAACACAGUGAAACCCUGUCUCUACUAAAAAUACUAAAAAACUAGCCGGGAGUGGUGGCGGGCACCUGUAGUCCCAGCUACUCGGGAGGCUGAGGCAGGAAAAUGGCCUGAACCCGGGAGGUGGAGCUUGCAGUGAGCCGAUGUCACACCACUGCACUCCAGCCUGGGCAACAGAGCGAGACGCCAUCUCAAAAACAAAUAAAUAAAUAAUAAAAACUAGCCAGGCGUGGUGGCGCACACCUGUAAUCUCAGCUACCUGGGAGGCUAAGGGCAGAAGAAUGGCUUGAACCUGGGAGGCAGAGGUCGCAGUGAGUCGAGACCGCGCCAUUAUACUCCAGCCUGGGCAACAGAGUGAGUCUCUGCCUCAAAAAAAAAAAAAAAAAAAAAAAAGUGUCAUGAAAUACUUAUCUGGAUAAAUCAGGAAAAUAUUUUAGUUUAAAUUUAUAAAAUCAUACAUUCUCUGGAUUCAUGGUGUUAUGGCAUAAGCAAGAUUUCACUGUACACAAGACUUUUUUGUUGUUGUUGUUGUUUUUUGAGACGGAGUCUCACUCAGUCACCCAGGCUGGAGUGCAGUGGCGCGAUCUCGGCUCACUGCAAGCUUCGCUUCCCGGGUUCACACCAUUCUCCUGCCUCAGCCUCCCGAGUAGCUGGGAUUACAGGCGCCUGCCACCACGCCCG